Molecule: small nucleolar RNA, 142 nt
Filed under: Chinchilla lanigera (long-tailed chinchilla)
Lineage: Eukaryota; Metazoa; Chordata; Mammalia; Rodentia; Chinchillidae
Description: small Cajal body-specific RNA 17 (ENSCLAG00000018335.1)
Rfam family: small Cajal body-specific RNA 17
About the family: scaRNAs are a specific class of small nuclear RNAs which localise to the Cajal bodies and guide the modification of RNA polymerase II transcribed spliceosomal RNAs U1, U2, U4, U5 and U12. The complete human U12-22/U4-8 scaRNA is composed of two tandem C/D box domains (termed U12-22 and U4-8).
Source: Rfam by way of RNAcentral
UUCCAGGUUCCCCCUUACGGCUCCCAGUGAGCCCUCAGUAUUUUCCUUAUAUGAUCAGGCACCACUGUGGGCGGCGCUGCUUGCCUGGAGCCUGAGAGGAUUAUGAAACGUGUCGGGCGAAGUGGAGCGAGGGGGACCUGGC